RNAcentral lists this ribosomal RNA (387 nucleotides) under Paragonimus westermani. Its description in RNAcentral is "LSU rRNA". It matches the Rfam family "Bacterial large subunit ribosomal RNA", at positions 1952 to 2626 of the family's 2925-position model. Lineage: Eukaryota; Metazoa; Platyhelminthes; Trematoda; Plagiorchiida; Troglotrematidae. The record is from RNAcentral.
UAAGGUAGCAUAAUCAGUUGCCUUGUAAUUGAAGGAUUGUUUGAACGGUUUGACCAGGGGGGUGUGUCUAGAUGGGGGCCAUCUCUGAAAUUAGGUGGCUGGUGCAGAUCCCAGCGAUUUUUAAUCAGACGGAAAGACCCCGAGAGCUUUGGCAGUUUUGUGCUUACUUGGGGCAAGGGCAAAUGUUUCACAUGCUUUUGGAUCCUUUGGGAAAAAGUUUUAGUUACCUCGGGGAUAACUAGGUAAGAGGCGAGGAGAGGUCUCAUCGAUUCGUCUGUUUGCCAUCUCGAUGUUGACUUAGGGUUAGGAUGGGGGUGCAGGAGCUUCCAUGUCUGGGUCUGUUCGACCGUUGUUCCCUUCAUGAGUUGAGUUAAGACCGGCGUGAGC